CCUACGGGUGGCUGCAGUAGGGAAUAUUGGGCAAUGGGGGCAACCCUGACCCAGCCAUGCCGCGUGCAGGAAGAAGGCCCUCUGGGUUGUAAACUGCUUUUGGGAGGGGACAAAAUACGGGUGCGCCCGGGAUUGAGUGUACCUCCAGAAUAAGCACCGGCUAACUCCGUGCCAGCAGCCGCGGUAAUACGGAGGGUGCGAGCGUUGUCCGGAUUUAUUGGGUUUAAAGGGUGCGUAGGCGGCCCGUUAAGUCUUCGGUGAAACCCCUGGGCUCA
This 275-nucleotide ribosomal RNA is filed under the name uncultured bacterium. Its description in RNAcentral is "partial 16S ribosomal RNA". It matches the Rfam family "Bacterial small subunit ribosomal RNA", at positions 338 to 611 of the family's 1533-position model. The record is from RNAcentral.